UACGUAGGGGGCUAGCGUUGUCCGGAAUCAUUGGGCGUAAAGGGCGCGUAGGCGGUCCUUCAAGUCAGGCGUGAAAGCCCCGGGCUCAACCUGGGAACCGCGCUUGAGACUGGCGGACUCGAGUUCGGGAGAGGAUGGUGGGAUUCCCAGUGUAGAGGUGAAAUUCGUAGAUAUUGGGAAGAACACCGAUGGCGAAGGCAGCCAUCUGGACCGACACUGACGCUGAGGCGCGAAAGCGUGGGGAGCAAACAGG
RNAcentral lists this ribosomal RNA (253 nucleotides) under uncultured bacterium. Its description in RNAcentral is "partial 16S ribosomal RNA". It matches the Rfam family "Bacterial small subunit ribosomal RNA", at positions 524 to 776 of the family's 1533-position model. The record is from RNAcentral.